ACAGAAUAUUGGGUUACAGUGUAGCAAAAUGGCGACUGUCAUUCAGAAUCCACUCAAAGCGCUCGGAGACCAGUUCUACAAGGAGGCCAUUGAGCACUGUCGCAGCUACAAUGCCCGUCUGUGUGCUGAGCGCAGUGUGCGCCUGCCGUUCCUGGAUUCCCAGACCGGGGUGGCACAGAACAACUGCUACAUCUGGAUGGAACGGCGCCACCGUGGGCCAGGUGUGGCUGCAGGACAGAUGUAUACCUACCCUGCUCGCUGCUGGAGGAAGAAGAGACGGCUGCAUCCCCCCACAGACCCCCAGCUACGCCUUUGCGAGCUCAAACUCGAGGGAGAGCUCCCACAGAAGAGGGACAGCCAGCCCGCAGAGGGGACCACCUUGGAGGCUCUGUUGCGAGGAGAGGGGCUGGAGAAGAAGAGCAACUCCAAGGAGGAUGAGAGCCUGCUGGAGAUCCAGAGAGUUCUGGAAGCUGAAGAAAAUGGAGACGGUUUCCAUGACGAUGAAGAUUUUGAAGUGGACACUCCAAAACGGAAGCACAGGACCAAAGGACGGGGCCGAGGUACAGGAAGGCGGAGGACAGAGGCAGCCAUGACAGAGGAUCAGGAUAAGCCCUAUGUGUGUGACAUUUGUGGGAAGCGGUACAAGAACCGCCCAGGCCUCAGCUACCACUACGCCCACACCCACCUGGCCGAGGAGGAGGGCGAGGAUGAGAGAGAUUCGGAGCCCCCCCGCUCUCCACCCGCUCAGCACGAGGACAACCACAAACCUCAGAAGGGUCCUGAUGGGACCAUCAUUCCCAAUAACUACUGUGAUUUCUGCCUUGGGGACUCUGGCUCCAACAGAAAGACAGGGCAGGCAGAGGAGUUGGUGUCAUGCUCAGACUGCGGCCGUUCUGCUGAACGUGGUCGAGGGAGAGACGAGAGGAAGAUGGCCUGUGGGGCAGAGGAAUUGUUUGGCGCCACGUCAGAAAGCGACACGUCCACAUUUCACGGCUUCGACGAGGACGAGUUCGAUGAGCCUCUGUCGCACGGCGGCGUGGCCUCUCCCAGGUGCAGAUAAAAAUGAACUGAACAAACGAAAAACAAAAACCUCUGAAAAACAAAACUGCUGCUUCUUUAUUAUUUUUUUUUUUUUUUUAGUGGAAAGCACAACUGAUCACUUCUGAAGAGAGAGCAAGUGUUAUUUUUUGUUUAUUUUUAGAGGACGAUUUAUGCUUUUUAAUAAGUUAGGGAUAUUGUUUUUUUGAAAGAAACUUUUAAAGCAAUGAGCAACUGACAACCUCUGCUGAAUGGCUUGUUGUCUGUCUAAUGCAGAAGAACCUUUAUUCUGGAAUUUUCCUUGGAGAGGAGAUAUUUAAAAAAAUCUAACUUUGAAAUAUGGAUUUAAUUGUACAGUGUGGUGUGGUACAGAUUUGCCAGCCUAAUCGGAAUUUAAUAACAAUAAUAGAAGACUGCAUCAGAAAACCCGAUGUGUAAAAAAAAAGAAACUAUCCUUUGGCUUUCUGUCUGUUGCUGGAUAGGAAGGGCAGAAAAAGAUUAAUUGAACCCCUCACUGGCAUUGCACAGCAUCAUUGAAGAAGGGAAUGGGACACUGGAUUAAAACAGUCUGAAAAUGAAGGAAUAGCACAAGACCAACGUCUUUACGCCUGAUGAAGCAGUGGUUUCACAUCACCAUGAAGGGACUCAAAGGCUACACCUGGGCCUGGAAGUAAGAGUAAGGAAGGCACAAGAGUGAACAGACUCACACUGGGGCAUGGAGGACAGAGCUGACAGUAUUUCCAUGGAAUUACUGCAGUUUUCUGCAGUCUCACUUUGCCUUACCACACUGGACAUUGGGAAUGGACCAGAAAUCAUUCAUCCCCAUUCCCUCUCUAGGAACAGAACAGAUCCGGGCUCCAGGCACCUAGCCACCAGACGCAGGGGCAUAGCCAUUCCCCAACACCUUCUCUGUGGACCUGUGGACCAGACCCUCAGGAGCUACCAGACAGACUAUGAACACCCCCCUUUGCCAGACAGACCAGAAGCCCUUUGGAAGGUUCCAAGCAUGUGCAAUACAGUUGUAGAAACCAUCGUGUUUUCAGGAGGAAAAGAAAAUCCCAGUUGAACUGGGACUCAUAAUUUGAAAAUAAUAGUAAUAAUAAAUAAUAAUAAUUUAAAAUUUUAGGCUUUUUAUUUUUAUGAACUGUGCUACAGCCAUAGCACCUGUAGCUUGAUUUUAAGCCUCUGAUUUUGUGUUUGCUAAUUUGGUGGCAUAACUUUUAUUGUAAGUACUUUUCUUAAGUAAAAGAGUAAUAAAAAACUUGGUAAUGAUUUUGAAGGACUGUUAAUCACGAUAGAUGUGUGAAGGAUCAGUGUAUAACUGCACUUCUCUGUUAUUUCAUUGUUACUGUACAUAUCCUGUCACUAACCUCCCAAGAUAAGAUGACAGUCGCUGUUCCAUUACUUGUGUUAUUUAAAGAACCUUACUGUAACAUGACAUUGUGCUUUUAGAAAUCUAAUCAUAAACAGUUUUAUGAUAAGGAAUUGAUUGGGUGCAGAUGCUUUGAAAACAUAAAAUGUGGUAUAAUAUUGUUAGAAAUCAACAUAAUUCCUUGCCCAGACUUAAUUUCCUAAUCAUCUUAUCAACUAAAAAAGAGACUUCUGGACAACUUACCUUGGGAGAGUGAUGUAUAUUCUGAUUGAUAUCCUUGGUCUCCUUGUUGAGCAACUCUUAGGUUAAAAGUCUGAAAAGACUUUUAAAGCCCGACAAAACGUGUAUUAAGAAAGCAAAAUUGCAUGGUCCAAUACAGAAAAUUGUUUAUAAGAACAAGUGAAGUUUGGAAGCAUAUUAAAAAAUACAUAUAUGCGUAGAAGGUCUUGAUUCUCACCAUUUUCAUCACUGUGCGAAUAUUUACUGUAAGUUCUGUGUUUUGAGAAGCUGUUUGUACUGUAGUAACAUAACAAAACAUACAGUAUUACGAACAGAAAUGGCACCAAGGGAUUAUGGAGAACAUGUAUGCAAAGAUACACCACCAGUAACAAGUGGAAAAAAAUGUGUACACACUGUUCUCCAAUAGGUUCCCUAGAGUGACAGAAAAUUAUAUCCCCAAAGAGUUGACACCACCUUUUAUCUUUAGUGUGAUGUGUCACACAGAUACAGAAGAAAGAGAAGACCCCACUGGCAAGGUGAAAGACAAAAUCGACAGGUUGCUGUUAGCUGUAAUUAGUGCUGAUGCUUCAAAAAGAUCCCUGCUCCAAACAUGUACUUUUAUUUAAUCAGAAACCUUUAAACCCUGUGAAGUCCAUGCCUGAAUGUCACUGUCUUACUCUGUCUUACUCUGUAGCUAGAGGUCAAUUCUUAUUGAGUCCUUACCACUAAUCUGACCUAAGCAACAUCAUUAAGGAUCUCUUUCCAGUGUUUGUCUCUAACUUCACAUCAACAGAAAUUUCUAUGGCUUUGCCGGAAACUGCUCUUUCUUCUUUUAGCACACUUGUGAAAAUGCAUAAGCAUUGGACAUUUACACAUGGAAGACAGCCUCUGGGAACCUUCUGGAAAUAUUUAACUUGUUUCCUAAAAGGACUGUAAAUUCAUAGCUCCUAUUUCUGUCUGUUUACAGAACAGAAAAAUAAAAGAGAAUUGCCUAUAUGGAAAAUAAAAAAGCCACGGUGUGAUACUCUGUGAUACGAUUUUGUUCAUUGCAAAGCUUGUAUUGUUCAAAUGUGUCAACUCCCUAUAAAAACAUGGAGAAGAACAGCUUAUCGAAGUUGUCACCAGACUACCUUAUGAUCUUUAAAACAAUUAUAAAUCAAUUAUGUUUUACAAACCUCAAUUAGGUUGUCCCUUUUUUCUCCCAUUGGAAAAAAAUGGAAGUGACGUUCCAGCUGGUAUUGGGCUUUUUUAUUCAGGAGUACUACUGAAAGGCCAAAAUAACUGAUAAAAUGUCUUCCAAUAAAUAAUGGCAUACAGGUUCAAAACACCAUUUUAGUUAAUUGUUUUUUAAAGCUCUCUUAUAAAUGUUUUAAUCAUGGUCUGUAGUGCAAGAGUUCCAACCACUUUCUUUCCAACCACUAGCUUUUUCUAUCAAGAAACACCAACUUGUAUUCUGACCAUGAAUUCUUAUUUGUUCACUUUACAGUUCAGGUGACACAAUGUUGAAAUUUUACAUGGUGCGAGUAGUCAAACACUGAGCCAUUAUUCUACAUUUGUCAAUGUAUAAUGUGUUGCACCUUCACGUAACUUAAAAGGAACUUUAUAGUCUCAGAUCUGUAAAGUCAUAUUCACUUUCAGUGUUGUAAAAUUAAGAAAAAGUCUUCUUAAAUUGCAAUAUCUGAAAUUGUGCACCUACCAUAACUUUGUAUAUAAUUGUUUUGUAUAGUUCAGCUUUCUUUGUUCUCUGCUGUCAUUUGAGCUUUGUUCCAAGUCUUUCACUUCUGUAGGCAAAUCUUCACUCACUUAUAAUUUCCUAAAAAUGUGAAGUUCAAGAACUGUUGAAUUCCCAAAUGCUGGGAAGUGUCAUUUCUUUAUUUACAGCAUAAUUCAUCUCUCAGUUCAGAAUUCGUCACUCUUUUGUUUCAUGAGAAUCACACAGCCCCAGUUAAUUUUGAGCUUGUUCAUAUUGUGGUUGACAUGAGGAAUUAUCGUACUUUGAAUAGGAAAAGAUUUGUUAUUUCAAAUAUUAAAAAAUAUUGUUUUUCAUAUUUUUAGUAUAAUUGUGAGAUUCAUUAUUCGAUUCAUUAUCUAUGAACCUUAUUUGUGUUUUGCUAGAUUUAAGUAAAAAAAAUUCUAUAAAUGGACAUACAUCAUAAUUUAUAUAAAUACCCAAAUAAACCUACCUAACCUAAGUAAAAUCAGUAUUGAUCUUAAGUACUUUUAGGGUUACUUGUCUCAUAGUGUGUGUGUGUGGUUUGACGUUGACUGCUUAGAACAAACUAGAUGUCUGUGCUACAAGCUUGUCAACCGUAGCAUACUAGGAGAUAAUCAAGACUUUUGAUUUUCUGUCUUCCCCAGAAACUCCAUGUUCUCGAUAGUGAGUCGCUUUGUAUACUGUUUUCUUCCUCUAAUGUUUUUUUCUUCUUGAAGAAAUGGAAUUCGGUGUUGGUCCAAUCAAGGGCUUUUAAUCAAAGCUAAUUAAAAUGGUGUGACAGUUCAUUAACCUCUAAAUAGUCAAAUGUCUCCCUUAAAAUACUGUACUACAGAUUUUACCUAGUAAUUGAACAAUAGCUAACAUGCAGAAGUAUAUAUAUGCAUUCCAUUAAGAACAUAUAGAACGUUUAUGGUAUCUGUAGAAAGAUGUAAAAUACUUAUAGAUUGCAUUAAUCCUAAUAAUUCUAUUUUCCAUUACUUGAUUAAAUGAAAUUCCUAAUGGUAACUAAUGGAAGCAGACAAAGACUUUGGACCUGUUGUUCCUUGUGGUCAAAUUCUUCCACCUUAUUUCUAUAUUUUAUUAUAGAGUUGCAACUUGCCCACAGGGAAAAUAGGGACCAUUGAGAAUAACCCUCUAAAAUAGUUAUGACAGAGAAAAGCUAGUGAGCCACAUUUUUCAGGGGUCUUCAAUUUCUUGGGAUUUGACUCACUCAGGUUCUGAUUUUUAAAAGUGGCAUAUUUCAAUCCCAGAGCUGUGCUCAGAGCCUGUGAAACUGUCAAUUUGAUCUGUACACCUCAGUCCCUGAAGGCACAAGUUUAAAGAACUAGGGAUACCAGGGGGCUGUUAAACUGGUUCCUACAUGUUAUGCAUCUGACAGAUUUGGUUUUAAAUCUCUUGAUAGCACUGUACUGGCCUUGUAGAAAUAUUAUUUUUUGUAUUCUAUUACUAUUACAUAUAAAGGUUUAUUAUACUCUAUUUUAAGAGGAGGAGUACUCAUAUAUUUUAAGAUUUGUGUUGAAAUUGACUGAUUUCACAAGAUAUAUAUUGCAUAUACAGUAUGUAACAUACUUACAAGGCCCAUAUUAAGUACAUUAAAUGGUAAAAGACUUUUGCUGUUCUUAAUGUGUUUUCUACAACACCUUUCCUUUACAUACAUUUGAAAGCCACUUGAGCAACAUUGGGAUCUUAUGUAGAUUAUAUUUAAUACUGAUGUCUUUUAGUGUUAAGCUUGUGGGCAGAUCUCUUUGACAGCUGUCACUAAAUCCAUCUUUGCUCUGUAUUAGCCUAUAUUUGUGAUUCCUUUCCAUUUCUAUUUUUUUUUUAGUUCAACUAAUUUGGAAUUCUAUUCUUCUGUAGACAUGUUUAUAUAUUUCUAUACACUGUCUAUAGAUGAAACUCAAAGUAGUCCUAAGAUUUUACAGUUUUGUUAAUUUCCAUCAUAAGAAUCAUGUCUGUUGUCAUGCUGCAGUGAUAUUAUUAGGGGUUGUCAUCAUGGCUUUCUGAAAAUCAGGUCUUGUUUAACAGAUUAUUUUAACUUCUUCAGUGUGCAAGUAAAUGGAUUUUGUAUUUAUGGUAUUGCUUACAUCAGGAUUUUUGUGUUAGAGUUACUCUUAAAUCAAGAGCAGUUAAUGGCACUUCUUGCAGACCUAGGUAAAAUAUUUGAAAAUAAUUUACAGGGAGCUUCAUCGCAUGUCUAAAAAAGGAGAAACAAGCCUAUAAAGUUUCACAGUCUACAAAGUUAUUUCUAAUAUACAGUAUACAGUGAGGCUUUAAAUACACAACAAAUGUCAUUGGUUCUAUUACUCAUUUGUUGUAUUUUUAGUACUUACCAGUGUAUGCAAUUGAAGCAAUUGAUCUGGGUAACAUUUUAUGAAGGAUUUUAAGAAAUAUAAAUGUUGAAUUUGAGUGAAUACUUGUGCUAAUUAAUUAUGCCAGGUCUUUUGUAGUAGAGCAAGAUCAUAAGAGCUAGUGUUAUACUCAUUUAUUAUAGAAGUUAAACAGUGAUGUCUCAAAUAUAACACAUUUAUUUCCCAAUUUCUUCAGAUUUUUCAUAAUCUUGUUGGUUUUUAUUGCUUUUGGGAACAGAUCCCAUAUUUGUGUUCACGUAUCAAAUGUGUGUGCUACUGUGGUAUUUUUAGUUCAAUAAUAUUGACUUAAAAGAAUAAAGUAUAUUAAUUCUUAUUCAUUUUGGAUAAUUACAUUGUUGAUUUUUAAACUGAGGUUUAAAGACUGUAUUAAAGAAGACAACUGAAAGAAAUGUAUAAUGCUUCACCUUAUAUAUAGCUCAGUAUAAAAAUGUCUGAGUAAAAUAUAGAAUGAUAAUAAAUUGUAAAGAUCAGGUAUUCCUGGGUUUUCUGAACUUUCUGAAAACUAGUGACCAGCAAAAUGUGAAUACAUUGUACCAAAUCUUUCCCUGGCUGCCGUGACGCCUCAUAGCCACUGGAAUCUCAUAAUCAAGUCAGGUUUUCUAACUUUGUUCUAAACCAUACAAAACAGAACUUAUUGUAAUUCAGUGUGAAUAUCCUGCAGCACAAGUUUUGCUGUUCUUUACUGUCAGUAACAUUCUUAGAAAAAGUAUCACUGUUUUCCUGUGUGAAACAUUUAUGUGGCUAAAAUGAGAGCACAAAAUAUGUUUAUAGAUAGCUUACAUUUGUCUCUGGCAUCCCCUUUCUUUAAGAGUCAUUCAAUAAAUAUGCUUAUCUUGUAGAGUCUUUGAAAAUAAUUCAUACAUAUUCAAUUCAACAUAUUCAGGUUACUUGCUAUUAAUAAUUUGCUCUAGAAUUAAAAGGGCAUGAUAAGUGUGAGUUCAUUUUAGUAUUUUUAUUUAACAGGUUUCUGUAGUGAAAACUGUUGACAUAAGCAAUGUUUCAGGAAUGCUGUUAACACUACACACAUUUCUGUCAGACCUUUUGUUUUCAGCCUCUUUAACUCUGUGAUGAGUGCUUAUAGAGGGCCAUGGUUUACUUUUGUUCAUUGUACAGUUAUGAGUUAUUUUGAGUGUGUGUGGCCAAACUAGAUUAAAACCAGUCAGAGAAGUUGUCUGUAUUUUUAAAGUGAAAACCCUCUGACAUGGUCACAUGGUUACUAUAAAUAGAGCUGGGUGAAUAAUUUUAAUAUUGGUAAGCUAUAUAAAUACCUAACAGUUAGAAUUGUUGAGUCAUUUAAGUAAAUAAGUGUGCUUUACACUUUAUAAGCACCAGGUCUGGGGUCAGGAUUACCAAAUCUGAAAAUGAAAAUGUUAAGCAGCAAAUAUAUCCCUUUUCAGUGUGUUUGACCGUUUGUUUGAAAUUAACCACAAAUGGGAAAUGUAGAAUGAGAAAGAGUGUACUCAAUAUUUUCUAACAAACCAAAUCUGGGCCAUAAGAUAUGGGAUAAAUAAUCUACAAGAAAACAUACUUUGAAUUAUUUUUUUUAUAAAUGGAAUUAAUCCUUAAUUUCAUUUCAAUUGAUUUUAAAGCCUAGAAAUUACCCUUUGUUUCUACAGUCGCCUGUCUUCACAGGGUAUUGUACAAUACAAUGCUUGGUAUUGUAUUUCUGCCUGUUAUUAAAUUAAAAUUACAAGUCAGAUUUAUUAGUAGUGUAAGAAAAAAAAGAUUUUACACCAAGUAGAGUCAGUGACUGAAACAUUUUGACUUCUGAUUUUUUAUUUAUUUAAAUACUUUGGAAUCUUGCAAUAGUUAAGUAUAGAUUAUGUAACAAGAUUGCUUUGAGUAUACUUCUUAGGGAUCUGUGAUGGCCUGCAUGGCCUGUAUUUGUUGUACAUGAGGUUGAUAUAUUGUUUUUCUCUAGAUACCUCCAUCAGCUCAUAAGCUUUGCAUUAUUUCUGCUACCCUUAGCUGAUUUACACUGCUUGGGGAACUUCGUGGGUCAAAACCAGAUAUAUUCAUCUCUUUCAUCUGAAUUGUUUGUAAGGGUGGACAAGCAAAAUAUGUACAAAACUGAGUAAACCUUUGCUCUGUCAUUUUCAGUUAUAAAUAUGGCAUUGACACACAGCUUAUUUUAGGGGUGGGGCUCCCGUUAAAGAACUUUGAAACUUUAUCCAUAGAAUAAGCACGGUACAGUACCAUAAAGAGUUGUGCAUUUGUUUAUGUACUCCUGAGACCGAUUUUGGAAGUGAGUGGUGGGCUGUCAUAAUUUGUUUGGCUUUCAGUUGGCUAGGCAUUGCAAUGCUAGGAAGUUGAUCAGCAGCCAGGCUUUGAGUUAAUGUAGCUGCUGUUUGCAUCAAGCAAAACAGGAAACAGAAGUAUUUUGCAGGUUACACAUGUGGCUUGUUUUUUAAGGAGGGGUGGUAGUAAUCAGAACAGUGUUAUAGCCAUGUUUCAAUUACAAAUGACAUUUCAGGGUUCCCAGGCCAUGCAGAAGAGAGUGCAUGGACUGAGGGGAGGUGCUCUAUUGUGAUGUAUCCAGAGUUACUAGUCCCCAGUGACAUCAUUGUUUUAAGUUUUCUGUGUAUGUCUAUAUGUGUGUCCAUGUUUUACGUUAAAACCAUAGCAUUGCAUAUUCAUGACAAUUUUAGAUGAGAAGGCUGAUUAAUGUUGGGUGGUGCAUAUUACAUCUCCUAGUUUUUAUAAAAUGAUACCUAUCCUACUGUUUAAUGCAUGUGCUUUUUCCUUGCAUAGCCUUAAAAAUACAGAGAGAGCUAUAUCUCCAGGAGUAACAUUUGGAAAUAAAUAGGUUCCUUGAAAGAAAAUAGUCUUACCAUGAAUUGAAUAGUGUAAAAUCAUGUAUUGACAUUUUAAUAAUUUAAAUAAUGCAGCCUUACCGGUUAAAAUGCAAUGGAAGCAACAUGUUUCAAAAGAAAACUGCACAUUGAUUUAUAAUUAACCAUUAUGUUUCAAUUUGUUCUAGCUUUCUCAAUGCAUGUAAUAAGAAGAUUAGUUGCUUGGCUUUGUUAACAUGUUGAACAAUCUCUCAGAUUGUUAGAAAUAGCAUUUCUGAUAGUAGUGAUAAAUUGGUUGCAAAUUGACUUGACUUGACAGUGUGUGAUUCUAAAGACAGUGGUCCCUGAAGAGUUUUGGGGCACUGAUCGUAUUAACAAAACCUGAUCAAUGAUUUUGGAAAGAGGUGAUUGCUGCUAUAUUGCUCUUCAAGUCUUUUUCAAAUUAAAGCAUGGAAAAGCUAGAUGUUAAAAUGGGCUUGGGACAAUACAGUAGAAACUGGAGUGCAUGUACCAGGUGGAAGGCUCAUGGGAGAAACUGAAAUGGACAUCAUAAUUGAAAAUUUCAUAAUUAAAAAGAAGAAACAGAUGGAGUCAGCCUUUUGAUUGUACAUUAAUGUGUAUUUUAGGUCUGAAUGACGAACACUGGUAUUCAAUUCUGCCCUAACAUGUGAACAACUACUUAUACCAUCUAGCUGCUACAGGUGGCUUUGGAAGGAGACAGCCUUAAGACUAUAAUCCUUACAGAUUGAAGUCAACAUGUCAUCAAAGGCAGUUCAUCCAUAGCUUAUAUUUUCAUUUGCUUUGACCUUCAGUGCUGUACUCACAUAUCCUGUAGCUCUGCGUACCGUUUGUCUCAGUGUUGCAAGAAAAUCAAAAACAUCUUGUUAUGUGGAAUAUUUGUUUGGGUCAUAAGUGAGACCAAACCAUCCUAAAGCAUAUUGGAGAUCUUUCUGGAUGAAUACACUGGUUUGUUGAAAAUAAUUAUAUUUAAAAAUAGAUUUUUGUUUCUGUACAAUCAAAUUGAAAAAGGACAUAGUGGAAUAAAGGAAAUAAUUCUUGGGAAAGCAAUUUCUAUGGGGGCCACUUGGGUGCAGACGUGAAUUCCUAGCGUGUUAGUAUCCCUGCAUCUUUCAAACAUAUUAAAAAUAAAUUGAAGAAAAUAGAACUUAACUACAGACAGUAGAUAAGUUCUAGUCAAAAUAUUUUAGUCUUUUUUUUUGUAGUUCAAACCAAUAUUCUUUUAAGGAUUGGUUAAUAUGGCCUGGUCAACCCUCUGCUGAAGGCCUUGUUCAGUGGAGUGUUAUAGUUACUGACUGAAUGAACUGUGUUUAUGAGACUUUCAGUGGUUAAUGUUAGAAAUGUAUAUUUCUUGUGAGCUUAUGAUGUUUUUGCACCUCACACAUUUUACUUUUCCUGCUGAGAGGCUUUUUUGUGAAACAGAAGGCUUAGAUGAUGUAUAAGCAGACACUUUUUGUCAGUGAAAUCUUUAAUUUAUAAAAAAUAACAGGAGGUCUGUGUAAGGUCCCUGUACAUGUUAAAAUUGCUGAAUUUUGCAGGACCUUCUUGUUAAUUUAAAGCCACAAUUUUAUAUAGCUGAACUGAAAUGAAAGUGACUGUUGUUUCAGACUCUUCAUAUGUUUAUUUCAAAUUGUCAGUUACAAAGGAAAGUCUUUGUUAUUGGAAAUAUUUUUAUUGUAACAAAAGGAAAUAAAGAACGAGUCUCCUA
Molecule: non-coding RNA, 11230 nt
Organism: Lepisosteus oculatus (spotted gar)
Lineage: Eukaryota; Metazoa; Chordata; Actinopteri; Semionotiformes; Lepisosteidae
Source: RefSeq, a predicted model, not a curated record